GUUCGAAGCAGCUCCCUUCUCCGGCACGUCUGUAAUACAGCUCUGGGCCUGGGUACCAAUUGCUCCUCAUGCCUCUGAGCUCAUUCUAGAGUUCAAGGACCAUCAAAAGGGGCCGCAAAGGAUCUUUCUGGGUGCUUUCCCCAUUAUCUUCUCAUCCUAUCAAUCGGAAGGAGGAUGCUUAUUGGAGAUCUAUUGUUUACUAAUGUAUUGGAUGAAGGUGGUGCCCACCCUCCUGGCCGAGGAGAAGCCCGUAUCUACCGAUGCCUCGGAAGCCGUCCUGUGGGAGUGUUCCAGCACCCAAGGUGAACGAGAUGUCGCGCUGCUCUUCGCAUCCCUCUCCUACACUCAGCCACCUCUGUUUCACCUGCCUCACGUCCAGGAACCUUUUAUCCCUAACGUGGAACAGCUGAUCUUCGGCCAGAAUCCUCAGGACACGGAGCAUGGCCAGGCUCGGCUUCCCAUGGAGAAGCUGUGUCACCUGCAGGAUAGAAAGGUGAACCUUCACAGAGCUUCGUGGGGCCAGUGCAUCGUGGCACCCAAGGUUUUCAGCUUCCCUUACUGUGAAGGGAUCUGCCUGGCCAUGAACUGUGAGCUCCUUCACUCCAACUUUGAAUGCUAUAAGAGAGAGGAAUCCACCUGUACCCCGCUCUUUCAGGCCUGUGGUCCUAUCAAGGUCCGUCUUUUCUCCUUCAUGGUCCAGGAUGAUGAACACAGGAUGAGCGUGUACCACGUGAACACCUCCCUAAUAGAAAAGUGUGGCUGUUCCUGAGAUUCCCUGGAGCGGCUGCUCUGCUAGUCUCUGUACCAUAGGUUUGGAGCUGUUUAGCAACGGAUCUAGCCUUGGAAUGACAGUUCCCUUUAGCCCAGCAUUUCUGGCCUCUGGAGUGAGUGAAAACUCUGUCAAGGGGGUAUUGUGUCACAGGCUAGCCCUCACUGCCUUUAGACUAGUGGGGGAGAUCUUUUGUCUCAUGGGAGGGUUAGGUCUCACUGUUUAAGAGACUUCCUGCCUCUUAAGUUUAACUUAAU
RNAcentral lists this long non-coding RNA (1026 nucleotides) under Meriones unguiculatus (Mongolian gerbil). Its description in RNAcentral is "lncRNA (ENSMUGG00000024764.1)". The record is from RNAcentral. Lineage: Eukaryota; Metazoa; Chordata; Mammalia; Rodentia; Muridae.